GGAGAUUUAGCUCAGCGGUAGAGCGCUUGCCUAGCAAACACAAGGCCCUGGGUUCGGUCCCCAGCUCCG
This 69-nucleotide transfer RNA is filed under the name Rattus norvegicus (Norway rat). It matches the Rfam family "tRNA". Rfam says of the family: Transfer RNA (tRNA) molecules are approximately 80 nucleotides in length. The record is from Rfam by way of RNAcentral. Lineage: Eukaryota; Metazoa; Chordata; Mammalia; Rodentia; Muridae.